This 620-nucleotide long non-coding RNA is filed under the name Dermacentor andersoni. Its description in RNAcentral is "uncharacterized LOC126541695". Lineage: Eukaryota; Metazoa; Arthropoda; Arachnida; Ixodida; Ixodidae. The record is from RNAcentral.
GAAUAUAACCUCCUUGGUUUACCUCCUCUGGCAUUUGCUACAGGUGGAGUUGAACCCAGGCCACCCCGAGGAAGCUUUGCAGUGAGAGCCAGAGGUGUUACCUCUACUCCAGACCAGCAGCUCCUAUCAGUGAGACGAAGGAGUACUUAGUUCGCGUGGCGCGCUUAGCGGUUCAUGACGUCAUGGGAGAGGGUUCGCCACUUGUAUAUAAAAGGAUGCGCGCAUUGGCUUGUCUACAUUACACGUUGCAAAGUGGAUCCAAGAGCAUCUAGCUCGGCGACGCCUGCGAAGCCACAAGGUCGACCGCGACGCGAAAGUAUGCCUCUGAAGAAGAAGCACAGGCCCAGCCCAAUGUAGCCAGGUGUGCAAAGCGGCAAGUAGAUGUUAAUUUUUGUGAAAGCGAGGCCGAAGCUAAACGAAAGCGGCAAGAAGAUGUCGAUCUCCGUAGAUGCAAUGUCGAAGCUAAACUGCAGAAGCGGCAAGAAGACGCCGAUCUCCAUAAACGCGAGGCUGAAGCUAAACGGCAGAAGCAACAGGAAGACUGAAUACAUCCAUAGGCAUGCCGAGACUACAUGAGGGACUACAUUAGGAAACGAAAGUGAAUUAUAAUAGGUUGCCAA